RNAcentral lists this small nuclear RNA (64 nucleotides) under Choloepus hoffmanni (Hoffmann's two-fingered sloth). The record is from RNAcentral. Lineage: Eukaryota; Metazoa; Chordata; Mammalia; Pilosa; Megalonychidae.
UGAGAAGAUUAGCAUGGCCCCUGCACAAGGAUUCAUGCAAAUUCGUGAAGCAUUCCAUAUUUUU